Molecule: ribosomal RNA, 392 nt
Filed under: uncultured bacterium
Lineage: Bacteria
Description: bacterial SSU rRNA
Rfam family: Bacterial small subunit ribosomal RNA
Source: RNAcentral
GACGAACGCUGGCGGCGUGCUUAACACAUGCAAGUCGAGCGGUAAGGCCCUUUCGGGGGUACACGAGCGGCGAACGGGUGAGUAACACGUGGGUGACCUGCCCUCAGCUCUGGGAUAAGCCUGGGAAACCGGGUCUAAUACUGGAUAUGACUCCAUGACGCAUGUUGUGGGGUGGAAAGCCUUGUGCGGCUGAGGAUGGGCCCGCGGCCUAUCAGCUUGUUGGUGGGGUGANGGCCUACCAAGGCGACGACGGGUAGCCGGCCUGAGAGGGCGACCGGCCACACUGGGACUGAGACACGGCCCAGACUCCUACGGGAGGCAGCAGUGGGGAAUUUUGGACAAUGGGGGCAACCCUGAUCCAGCCAUGCCGCGUGAGUGAAGAAGGCCUUCGG